CCUACGGGUGGCUGCAGUGAGGAAUAGUGGUCAAUGGACGCAAGUCUGAACCAGCCAUGCCGCGUGCAGGAAGACGGCUCUAUGAGUUGUAAACUGCUUUUGUACAAGGGUAAACGCAGAUACGUGUAUCUGUCUGAAAGUAACGGACGAAUAAGGAUCGGCGAACUCCGUGCCAGCAGCCGCGGUAAGACGGAGGAUUCAAGCGUUAUCCGGAUUUAUUGGGUUUAAAGGGUGCGUAGGCGGUCGGAUAAGUUAGAGGUGAAAUCCCGAGGCUCAACUUCGGACUUGCCUCUGAUACUGUUCGGCUCGAGCUUAGUUGCGGUCGGCGGAAUGUAUGGUGUAGCGGUGAAAUGCUUAGAGUUCAUAC
This 367-nucleotide ribosomal RNA is filed under the name uncultured bacterium. Its description in RNAcentral is "partial 16S ribosomal RNA". It matches the Rfam family "Bacterial small subunit ribosomal RNA", at positions 338 to 702 of the family's 1533-position model. The record is from RNAcentral.